Molecule: non-coding RNA, 84 nt
Organism: Brugia malayi
Lineage: Eukaryota; Metazoa; Nematoda; Chromadorea; Rhabditida; Onchocercidae
Source: RefSeq, a predicted model, not a curated record
AUGGCGAGAUGAUGGUAUUGGUGAUGCAGGUGGAAAUGGCGCUUAUGGUGCACCUGCAGCAGCGGUUCCAUUUUCGUGUUUAUG